UGGGGAAUUUUGGACAAUGGGCGCAAGCCUGAUCCAGCCAUGCCGCGUGCAGGAUGAAGGCCUUCGGGUUGUAAACUGCUUUUGUACGGAACGAAAAGACUCUGGUUAAUACCUGGGGUCCAUGACGGUACCGUAAGAAUAAGCACCGGCUAACUACGUGCCAGCAGCCGCGGUAAUACGUAGGGUGCGAGCGUUAAUCGGAAUUACUGGGCGUAAAGCGUGCGCAGGCGGUUCUAUAAGACAGAUGUGAAAUCCCCGGGCUCAACCUGGGAAUGGCAUUUGUGACUGUAGAGCUAGAGUACGGUAGAGGGGGAUGGAAUUCCGCGUGUAGCAGUGAAAUGCGUAGAUAUGCGGAGGAACACCGAUGGCGAAGGCAAUCCCCUGGACCUGUACUGACGCUCAUGCACGAAAGCG
This 414-nucleotide ribosomal RNA is filed under the name uncultured bacterium. Its description in RNAcentral is "bacterial SSU rRNA". It matches the Rfam family "Bacterial small subunit ribosomal RNA", at positions 355 to 761 of the family's 1533-position model. The record is from RNAcentral.